Molecule: long non-coding RNA, 2728 nt
Organism: Athalia rosae (coleseed sawfly)
Lineage: Eukaryota; Metazoa; Arthropoda; Insecta; Hymenoptera; Athaliidae
Exons: 2
Source: RefSeq, a predicted model, not a curated record
UGUAUCGGCGAAGUUACGCGAAAAAAUUCUCUCCUCCAUACGAGCGAGACGACUCGUUCUCGUUCCUUGAAAAACGAAAAUCUCGCCUGACCGGCAGACGAUGCGUAAAAAUUAACAAGACGUGGAUAAAAAAAGAGCGACGUGAGAUCAGGCCGCGGGAAGAAAUUAUAACUUGCUCGAAAGAAGAAACGAAAAGAACGAGCGAAACGGCAGAAGGAGAAGCUUGAAGAAAAAGAAAAAAAUCAUCCCCUAUCCCUACAGCUGUAAAAAAAAAGCUCGACUCAAAACUCUGGAAAAUCCUGGUUCGCGGGAGCUAAUUUCUAGUCCACUCGCUGAACGUACGUGGUAUGAGAAUGGUGGGUGAAAUAAAUUUUUUCGUAUUCGAAUAAAAAUACGGUACGAUAACGUCGGUUUCACUUCCACCCUCGACAACGCCUUGUUGCUACGUUAUCCUAGCUACAGGUAUACCUGCAUUUUGCUCACGGGGUUGCUGAACCAACGGUUGCUCUGAACUUUCGUGACCUCGGCUGACCCCGUGGAUCGAUACGUCAUUUUGCUACCCGGCAUGCCCAGGCCGCGGUAUCAACGACCACGUAAAAUGCACCGCUCGGCGAAAAAUAUUUUCCAUGUUACCGAGAUAUCGUCACGCGCGCCUAUCCGGAUCGUCGAGACUCGGAUCGAGCGACGCCGUUCAUCGAUCGAAAAUAGACGACGAGCCCUCGGAGUUCGGCGUUGUCGAACUGCGAAUUUUACGACGAUCGGGGUUUAACGACGAUCGGGGACGCACUUGCGAACGUACUACAUUCCAUACUCGUCGAUACGGCUCCCGCGGAUUCGACGGAGCUUUCGAGUUCGAGUGGCGCGGUGCAAUCGUCCCCGAGUGAUUCAAUUUUUUCACCUACAUCGAUUAUGACACAAUUGCCGCGUUUUGUAACCGUCCGCGGAAUUCUAUUAUACAAUGCGUGAGUAGACGGUAUACCUGUGCAGCCGGUAGGAAAAUGUACGAAGAGCUCGGGUCGACGAGAUUUAUUUUAUCCUUUUGGAAAGACAGUCGACAAAGUUCACCUGUCUUGCGUAGUUGUAUAGUCGUUCGUACGUCUGUACGACUAUAUAGGUACGAGGGUACAAAGCAGGGGGGGCGGGGGAUAUGAUCGAUAAUGAAAUAUAUAUACGAAGGCUUUUAAAAGCUGUAAAAGCGACGGCGACGCUCGUAGAUCUAGACAGACGAGAAAACGAAGUGCUGCGUCGUGACCUAAAAUGUAGUAUGACGAUACUCGUGGAAAACACAGAUAUUAUGCGAUAGAUUGGACAUCAAAAUCUCAUACUGUAUCAUCAACGAGUAAUUACAAUGAGCUAUGGUAGGGCUCCAGGGUUCAAAUUAUGGGGAGCCCUGAGCCCUGAGGAAAUGCUGUUAACCUUGCAUAUAUAUAUAUUAUAAUCACUUUGCAGGCCAAUCAUGAAAAACUGAUUCUCUCGUCUCAAGUUACCUUAGUAAUUAUUUCGCCUUCUUUAACGAGUGGAGGUAAUUCUAGACCGUUAUACUCGAGAGCAAAUACACCCUACGACGUUGAUCGGUAGCUCGGAAUUGAAAAUAUCACAGAGUCAGGAGAAGGUUGAGCAUGAGGGUGAGGGUUGUGCGUAUUCCCGACUAUUCGAGGAAAUUAUUUUCUCGCCAACUUCGCGCUUGUCCACGAUAGGCUCAACAUUUUGCAGUAAUCGGUCAACGAGGAGCCGAAAUUGAGGGCGUUGUAAAAUGUCAAUCUAAUCGUAAUCGUAGGAUAUACGUCUAAUUGUAAAUUAGAUAGUUCCUACAUAUUUCAAGCCCGUAGACUGAACACCUUUUUUCUGUCCGGAAUAUAUAAUUGAUUACACCGAUUAUCGGUAUAAUACCGAAAUGAACGCGAUCGCUAGAAAAGUGUAGAAUAGAUCCAAUUUCGUUCACACUUCCUUACGUUGAAUAAACUUUGAUUCGAAAUUACACAAAGUCAUUGCGUCUUAUAGUUUUAAACUGUCGGGAACUUUUACUUGGAAAGUUUUCAAUAUUUCAACGAGUAAACUCCUUCACUCGCCUCGAUUCCGCAGGUGGCACGAAUCCAGCGAAUCACAGUUAACGAUUUGGUGAAAAGCGUUGUGAAAAUAAGGCGCGUUAAACAAAUCUUGAAGAUCGAAUAGCAGAAGUUUUGUUUUUUUUUUUUUUUUUUUUCUUCUUACCCGGGUGUCCCGUCGUUGAUAUCAGCCGGCGGUAAUGUUCGCGUAAGUUGUAUAAGCUCGUUAAAAAGUUUGAAAAUCUUUCAAAGUAGUUUUGAAAAGAAUCUUUUCGAGAUUAGGUUCAUUCGCGCUGCAUCUAGUCUUUCGAACAAAAUGCAAGAAAUUUCACCAUCGUGUUUCUCACUUAUAAAACGUAAGAAGAACAAACAUACGAUAAUAAAGCUUUAGCGACCCUUGAAAGCUUCCAGUUUUCUUUGGAUCGUAUAACGCCUAAUCCCUGGAAUAUCUUUUCUCCCACGAUUUCAGACCUCACUCAACCUCGAUUGACAAUAACAGAAGUAUCACAUCCGUCGAUAACUUAUAUUGUUCUUGUCAUACCGUCAACUUUAAACGACCUGAGCAGCGAAGAAGAGAAAAGAAAAAACAUGAAAAUGGUAUGUGACGAAUCAUCCUCGACUCGGAUCUCAACCGUCCGGCGGUGACGCGAACCUCGGGGUGGUUCCGAGAAAACAUCUGCAGG